This is a non-coding RNA of Fusarium torulosum, 94 nucleotides long. The record is from the annotation of a GenBank genome assembly. Lineage: Eukaryota; Fungi; Ascomycota; Sordariomycetes; Hypocreales; Nectriaceae.
UCCGGUGUGGUGUAUCGGUUUAUCAUUCCGCGUUUUCAGUUUCAUAACUCGAAAUAGCACCGCGGCGAGCGGGGUUCGACUCCCCGCACCGGAG